This 497-nucleotide ribosomal RNA is filed under the name uncultured bacterium. RNAcentral describes it as "partial 16S ribosomal RNA". It matches the Rfam family "Bacterial small subunit ribosomal RNA", at positions 28 to 507 of the family's 1533-position model. The record is from RNAcentral.
GAUGAACGCUGGCGGCGUGCCUAAUACAUGCAAGUCGAGCGAACGGACGAGAAGCUUGCUUCUCUGCUGUUAGCGGCGGACGGGUGAGUAACACGUGGAUAACCUACCUAUAAGACUGGGAUAACUUCGGGAAACCGUAGCUAAUACCGGAUAAUAUUUUGAACCGCAUGGUUCAAAAGUGAAAGACGGUCUUGCUGUCACUUAUAGAUGGAUCCGCGCUGCAUUAGCUAGUUGGUAAGGUAACGGCUUACCAAGGCAACGAUGCAUAGCCGACCUGAGAGGGUGAUCGGCCACACUGGAACUGAGACACGGUCCAGACUCCUACGGGAGGCAGCAGUGGGGAAUCUUCCGCAAUGGGCGAAAGCCUGACGGAGCAACGCCGCGUGAGUGAUGAAGGUCUUCGGAUCGUAAAACUCUUUUAUUAGGGAAGAACAUAUGUGUAAGUAACUGUGCACAUCUUGACGGUACCUAAUCAGAAAGCCACGGCUAACUACGUG